This 274-nucleotide ribosomal RNA is filed under the name uncultured prokaryote. RNAcentral's name for it is "partial 16S ribosomal RNA". It matches the Rfam family "Bacterial small subunit ribosomal RNA", at positions 524 to 798 of the family's 1533-position model. The record is from RNAcentral.
CACGGGGUUGCGAGCGUUGUCCGGAAUUACUAGGCGUAAAGGGCAGGCAGGCGGAUCCAUAAGUUUAUCGUUUAAGGCGUCGGCUUAACCGGCGUAGGGCGGUAGAUACUGUGGAUCUGGAAUGCGGUUGGGGAUGACAGAAUUCCUGGUGUAGCGGUGGAAUGCGCAGAGAUCAGGAGGAAUACCGAAGGCGAAGGCAGUCUUCCAAGCCGUUAUUGACGCUCAACUGCGAAGGUGUGGGUAUCAAACAGGAUUAGAUACCCUGGUAGUCCCU